AUUGCUUCUCAGCCUUUUAGCUAAGAGCAAACAUAGUAUCUGUUCUUACCAGUUUAAUAGCAAGGCAAUUUGGUAAAAAUUCCAUUUAUGAGCAUUU
Molecule: small nuclear RNA, 97 nt
Gene: U2
Rfam family: U2 spliceosomal RNA
About the family: U2 is a small nuclear RNA (snRNA) component of the spliceosome (involved in pre-mRNA splicing).
Source: Ensembl